This 1110-nucleotide ribosomal RNA is filed under the name uncultured Synechococcus sp. Its description in RNAcentral is "bacterial SSU rRNA". It matches the Rfam family "Bacterial small subunit ribosomal RNA", at positions 407 to 1533 of the family's 1533-position model. Lineage: Bacteria; Bacillati; Cyanobacteriota; Cyanophyceae; Synechococcales; Synechococcaceae. The record is from RNAcentral.
GGUGAGGCCUCUGGGCUGUAAACCUCUUUUAUCAAGGAAGAAGAUCUGACGGUACUUGAUGAAUAAGCCACGGCUAAUUCCGUGCCAGCAGCCGCGGUAAUACGGGAGUGGCAAGCGUUAUCCGGAAUUAUUGGGCGUAAAGCGUCCGCAGGCGGCCCUUCAAGUCUGCUGUUAAAAAGUGGAGCUUAACUCCAUCAUGGCAGUGGAAACUGUUGGGCUUGAGUGUGGUAGGGGCAGAGGGAAUUCCCGGUGUAGCGGUGAAAUGCGUAGAUAUCGGGAAGAACACCAGUGGCGAAGGCGCUCUGCUGGGCCAUCACUGACGCUCAUGGACGAAAGCCAGGGGAGCGAAAGGGAUUAGAUACCCCUGUAGUCCUGGCCGUAAACGAUGAACACUAGGUGUCGGGGGAAUCGACCCCCUCGGUGUCGUAGCCAACGCGUUAAGUGUUCCGCCUGGGGAGUACGCACGCAAGUGUGAAACUCAAAGGAAUUGACGGGGGCCCGCACAAGCGGUGGAGUAUGUGGUUUAAUUCGAUGCAACGCGAAGAACCUUACCAGGGUUUGACAUCCUGCGAAUCUCUUGGAAACAGGAGAGUGCCUUCGGGAACGCAGUGACAGGUGGUGCAUGGCUGUCGUCAGCUCGUGUCGUGAGAUGUUGGGUUAAGUCCCGCAACGAGCGCAACCCACGUCUUUAGUUGCCAGCAUUUAGUUGGGCACUCUAGAGAGACUGCCGGUGAUAAACCGGAGGAAGGUGUGGAUGACGUCAAGUCAUCAUGCCCCUUACAUCCUGGGCUACACACGUACUACAAUGCUACGGACAAAGGGCAGCAAGUUCGCGAGGACAAGCAAAUCCCAUAAACCGUGGCUCAGUUCAGAUCGUACGCUGCAACUCGCCUACGUGAAAGGCGGAAUCGCUAGUAAUCGCAGUCAGCAUACUGCGGUGAAUACGUUCCCGGGCCUUGUACACACCGCCCGUCACACCAUGGAAGUUGGCCACGCCCGAAGCCGUUACUCCAACCCUUGUGGAGGAGGACGUCGAAGGUGGGGCUGAUGACUGGGGUGAAGUCGUAACAAGGUAUCCGUACCGGAAGGUGCGGAUGGAUCACCUCCUAA